This is a long non-coding RNA of Culex quinquefasciatus (southern house mosquito), 689 nucleotides long. RefSeq lists it as uncharacterized. NCBI's taxonomy places the organism in Eukaryota, Metazoa, Arthropoda, Insecta, Diptera, Culicidae. The record is from RefSeq and is a predicted model, not a curated record. The transcript is spliced from 2 exons.
AACGGGUGGAAAAGGAACGAGUUGAAAAUAUCCACACGCUCCACACCAAAAUCCACAAUGCCUAGCUGUCAAAAUCUGCUGAUACCACAUUUUAACAGCUGAUAGCAAACUGCAGUGUUGAUUUUAGAUAGAAUUAAAAGAAAAACACCGUUUUUCCUGCAAAAAAACAGAUUUUAGUGGAUUUUAUUGAACGCGGUAACAAUUCUGCACGGUCUCGAUCUGGGGAUUUAAUCGCCCUCUCGGACGUUUCUUCUAUAAAACAUCAAUCAGCUCUGUUUUGGGGCAGAAAAGCGGAGCGGUCAGAAGGUUUGUCUGCACUCAUGUCUCGGAGGCAAUCAGCGGCAGCUUUGACCGGUUUGACGGAAGUGGAGACGGCCCGUGCGCCAAACUGCCCGUGGUGAUUCAACGGAAAACAUUACCUGUGCAUGAGCACGCGGGACGUUCCUGUGGUACGGCCGGCGCUGGCGUUGGCUGGAAGCUGCUUGUGACGAUCGAAGGGUGAACAUUGACCAUGGUACGCAGGGGAGGAGGAAGUGUGACAAGAGAUAUCAAGGAAAUGAAGAGGAAUAUCGCGAAAAGGAAGCUGCGAGGUUGUGAAUAAAGUAAGAGGAAGAUUAAGCUUAAGAAAAAGUUGGAAACGCUUCGUUAGCAUUUUUUCUUCGAAUAAAAAUGUUUGAUUACAAGCACAA